RNAcentral lists this ribosomal RNA (251 nucleotides) under uncultured bacterium. RNAcentral describes it as "partial 16S ribosomal RNA". It matches the Rfam family "Bacterial small subunit ribosomal RNA", at positions 526 to 779 of the family's 1533-position model. The record is from RNAcentral.
CGUAGGUGCAAGCGUUAAUCGGAAUUACUGGGCGUAAAGCGUGCGCAGGCGGCUUUGCAAGACAGAUGUGAAAUCCCCGGGCUCAACCUGGGAACUGCAUUUGUGACUGCAUGGCUAGAGUACGGUAGAGGGGAGUGGAAUUCCGCGUGUAGCAAUGAAAUGCGUAGAUAUGCGGAGGAACACCGAUGGCGAAGGCAAUCCCUGGACCUGUACUGACGCUCAUGCACGAAAGCGUGGGAGCAAACAGGAUU